RNAcentral lists this transfer RNA (87 nucleotides) under Pandoraea horticolens. RNAcentral's name for it is "Pandoraea sp. LMG 31112 tRNA-Leu". It matches the Rfam family "tRNA". Rfam says of the family: Transfer RNA (tRNA) molecules are approximately 80 nucleotides in length. Their secondary structure includes four short double-helical elements and three loops (D, anti-codon, and T loops). Lineage: Bacteria; Pseudomonadati; Pseudomonadota; Betaproteobacteria; Burkholderiales; Burkholderiaceae. The record is from RNAcentral.
GCCGGGAUGGCGAAAUUGGUAGACGCCGGGGACUUAAAAUCCCCUACUCUAACGAGUGUGCGGGUUCGAUUCCCGCUCCCGGCACCA